RNAcentral lists this ribosomal RNA (467 nucleotides) under uncultured bacterium. RNAcentral's name for it is "bacterial SSU rRNA". It matches the Rfam family "Bacterial small subunit ribosomal RNA", at positions 29 to 482 of the family's 1533-position model. The record is from RNAcentral.
AACGAACGCUGGCGGCGUGGAUUAGGCAUGCAAGUCGAACGCGAAAGAGGGGGAAACCCCUUUAGUAGAGUGGCGAACGGGUGAGUAACGCGUGAAGAACCUGCCUUCAACAGGGGGAUAACACUCCCAACGGGGUGCUAAUACCGCAUGAGACCACGGAGCUGCAUGGCUCUGAGGUCAAAGGUGGCCUCUAUUUAUAAGCUACCGGUUGAAGAUGGCUUCGCGUCCCAUUAGCAGUUGGCGGUGUAAAAGACCACCAAGGCGACGAUGGGUAGCUGGUCUGAGAGGAUGACCAGCCACAUUGGGACUGAGACACGGCCCAGACUCCUACGGGAGGCAGCAGUGGGGAAUCUUGCGCAAUGGGCGAAAGCCUGACGCAGCGACGCCGCGUGUGGGAUGAAGGUCUUCGGAUUGUAAACCACUGUCGGGAGGGACGAAUGCCCUGCAAGGGGAGUGACGGUACCUCC